Molecule: small RNA, 127 nt
Filed under: Marmota monax (woodchuck)
Lineage: Eukaryota; Metazoa; Chordata; Mammalia; Rodentia; Sciuridae
Source: RNAcentral
GCUGGGCAUGGUGGCACACGCCUGUAAUCCCAGUGGCUUGGGAGGCUGAGGCAGGAGGAUUGCAAGUUCAAAGCCAGCCUCUGCAAAUUUGUGAGACCUUAAGCAAAUUAGCAAGACCCUGUCUCAA